This 305-nucleotide ribosomal RNA is filed under the name uncultured bacterium. Its description in RNAcentral is "bacterial SSU rRNA". It matches the Rfam family "Bacterial small subunit ribosomal RNA", at positions 331 to 629 of the family's 1533-position model. The record is from RNAcentral.
UGGGACCUAUGGGGGGGCAGCAGUGGGGAAUAUUGCACAAUGGGCGCAAGCCUGAUGCAGCCCUGCCGCGUGUAUGAAGAAGGCCUUCGGGUUGUAAAGUACUUUCAGCGGGGAGGAAGGGAGUAAAGUUAAUACCUUUGCUCAUUGACGUUACCCGCAGAAGAAGCACCGGCUAACUCCGUGCCAGCAGCCGCGGUAAUACGGAGGGUGCAAGCGUUAAUCGGAAUUACUGGGCGUAAAGCGCACGCAGGCGGUUUGUUAAGUCAGAUGUGAAAUCCCCGGGCUCAACCUGGGAACUGCAUCUG